This 404-nucleotide ribosomal RNA is filed under the name Bacillota bacterium. RNAcentral's name for it is "Firmicutes bacterium partial 16S ribosomal RNA". It matches the Rfam family "Bacterial small subunit ribosomal RNA", at positions 355 to 776 of the family's 1533-position model. The record is from RNAcentral. Lineage: Bacteria; Bacillati; Bacillota.
UGGGGAAUAUUGGACAAUGGGCGAAAGCCUGAUCCAGCAAUGCCGCGUGAGUGAUGAAGGCCUUAGGGUUGUAAAGCUCUUUGACCCGGGAUGAUAAUGACAGUACCGGGAGAAUAAGCCCCGGCUAACUCCGUGCCAGCAGCCGCGGUAAUACGGAGGGGGCUAGCGUUGUUCGGAAUUACUGGGCGUAAAGCGCACGUAGGCGGCUUUGUAAGUUAGAGGUGAAAGCCCAGGGCUCAACCCUGGAAUUGCCUUUAAGACUGCAUCGCUUGAACAUCGGAGAGGUAAGUGGAAUUCCGAGUGUAGAGGUGAAAUUCGUAGAUAUUCGGAAGAACACCAGUGGUGAAGGCGACUUACUGGACGAUUGUUGACGCUGAGGUGCGAAAGCGUGGGGAGCAAACAGG